Molecule: long non-coding RNA, 319 nt
Organism: Pan paniscus (pygmy chimpanzee)
Lineage: Eukaryota; Metazoa; Chordata; Mammalia; Primates; Hominidae
Source: Ensembl
UGUAACUAUAGUGAUGUUUCUGCUUUUGCUUCUAUCAAAAUCCCAAGUUAGACAGAAAAAGAUGAAGCAGAGUGCAGUGGAGGAAGUCCUAGAAGAACUUCUGUGAAAAAUUCCUGUAACAAGUAUGCUGAAGAUUUUGACCCAUGGACUGAGAACAAAAUGCAACUUCAGUUUUGUCUCCCUCUUGUUGUAAUUGUCUUGACCUGUAAUGAUUAAAUGGCUUUUACUUUGACUGGUGCCUCCCAAAUUGACUGUCCUUGCUGGCCUUGAGGGAUGGUAAAAUUCAACUGUUUUUCUUGUCUCUUUGAUCUCUGCAGAG